GAUGAACGCUGGCGGUAUGCUUAACACAUGCAAGUCGAACGGACUCUUCGGAGUUAGUGGCGGACGGGUGAGUAACGCGUGAGAAUCUGGCUUUGGGUUCGGGACAACCACUGGAAACGGUGGCUAAUACCGGAUGUGCCGAGAGGUAAAAGAGAAAUUGCCUGAAGAUGAGCUCGCGUCUGAUUAGCUAGUUGGUGAGGUAAAGGCUCACCAAGGCAGCGAUCAGUAGCUGGUCUGAGAGGAUGACCAGCCACACUGGGACUGAGACACGGCCCAGACUCCUACGGGAGACAGCAGUGGGGAAUUUUCCGCAAUGGGCGAAAGCCUGACGGAGCAAUACCGCGUGAGGGAAGAAGGCUCUUGGGUUGUAAACCUCUUUUCUUAGGGAAGAACAAAAUGACGGUACCUAAGGAAUCAGCAUCGGCUAACUCCG
This 433-nucleotide ribosomal RNA is filed under the name uncultured bacterium. Its description in RNAcentral is "partial 16S ribosomal RNA". It matches the Rfam family "Bacterial small subunit ribosomal RNA", at positions 28 to 505 of the family's 1533-position model. The record is from RNAcentral.